Molecule: small nuclear RNA, 165 nt
Filed under: Panthera pardus (leopard)
Lineage: Eukaryota; Metazoa; Chordata; Mammalia; Carnivora; Felidae
Description: U1 spliceosomal RNA (ENSPPRG00000017739.1)
Rfam family: U1 spliceosomal RNA
About the family: U1 is a small nuclear RNA (snRNA) component of the spliceosome (involved in pre-mRNA splicing). Its 5' end forms complementary base pairs with the 5' splice junction, thus defining the 5' donor site of an intron. There are significant differences in sequence and secondary structure between metazoan and yeast U1 snRNAs, the latter being much longer (568 nucleotides as compared to 164 nucleotides in human).
Source: RNAcentral
AUACUUAGCUGACAGGGGAGAUACCAUGAUCAUGAAGUUGGUUUUUCCAGGAUGAGAGUUACCCAUUGCACUCCGGAUGUGCUGACCCCUUCGAUUUCCGCAAAUGUGGGAAACUUGACUGCAUAAUUUGUGGUAGUGGGGGGACUACGUUCACGCUCUCCUCUU